CUUGGCGAUCUGAGCGCCGUCUUUUUGACACGCCCUGACUGCCUCAUCAUAGGUCAGCUUAGAGGGAUGGAUCAGCCAAUAGUGAAAGUGGUCUGAUCCAUCAUCCUGCUGGUUUUUAUUGGAUUACUGUCUUAAGGAACCUGGUUAAUUAAAGGGUUCUCUGGGUGUGUUGAUGGGAUACUGGACCGAACCAUCAUUCAGCCAGCCGGCGUUGCACCAGUCCAUCCCUCCCCGCCACGCAUCGUAC
Long non-coding RNA from Lates calcarifer (barramundi perch), 247 nucleotides. RefSeq lists it as uncharacterized. The record is from RefSeq and is a predicted model, not a curated record. NCBI's taxonomy places the organism in Eukaryota, Metazoa, Chordata, Actinopteri, Centropomidae. The transcript is spliced from 3 exons.